This is a non-coding RNA of Delphinapterus leucas (beluga whale), 1038 nucleotides long. The record is from RefSeq and is a predicted model, not a curated record. Lineage: Eukaryota; Metazoa; Chordata; Mammalia; Artiodactyla; Monodontidae.
GCAUCGGCAGGCGGACUCCCAACCACUGCGCCACCGGGGAAGCCCGAGGAGAAAAGUCAUGGAGCUGAAAAGAAGAGAGAAAAUAACCUCCAAAGCCUGGUGAUUUUGCAUCACAGCAGUUGGUAACAAGUUGUGGAACCUGACUGUGAUUUUUUUGAAAAAAAUGACAAGUGGAAGUAAUAGUCAAGUGGAGAGGAACGUGUGUGUUCCUGACAACCACACCAGAUCAUGACACUGAUGGCGCCCCUCCCUGUGUCUCCCGUGGGCCACCAGUUGCAUGAAUCCAGCUUUUACAUGGCCCUCCUCUUUGUACACGCCGUGUUGAGAUGGAUGCCUCUUCUCCAGAACAAACUAACUGCUGACCUGUAUGCAGCUGGACUCUUCAGAGUUUAAACCCAGUUUAAACGGUUUCCUAAGCACGUUGCCUCCAGAUCUGGUUACCUGCUCCCGUGCUAUGGAAGCCCCGUGAGUGGUGUGGGGUUAGGGAUUUGAAUCCUGGUUCUACCAUUUCUUCUACCUGUGUGACUGGCUCUUGAUCUGUGCCCUGUAUGCCCAUGGAAAGGGAGACCAUUGUGUCUGAGGUGAUCAUGACAUAUUGACAGAAAGAAGAAUGGAGAAGACAAAUGUAGCCCCAUGAACUGUUGCAGUAAGGUUGGUCGUGUCUGGUUUGUCUUGUUCAGAAUAGUUGGAGACUCCAGCCCAGCAGCACGUGGGAGAGGCUGCAGCCUGACAGGACUGAGGUGGGAUGAGGCAAGGAGGAGGAGGGCUGAUUCCAAAGGAUACCACCACUCAUGAUUUGUUUGUUUGUUUCUGACCUUACUACAGGGAGGAUUUCAUGCCGUUUACCAUGGUGCACAAAAUUAAAACAAAGCAUGCUUAGUAUGACUGGGAGACAGAAUAGCAUGAUAAAUAAGAGAGUGCUUGGGUUGGUAUCUAGGCUCUGCUACCCCCUGGCUACAUGACCAUGGGAGAGUGACUUCAGCUCUGUGGGUCUCAGUGUCCUGAUCUUUUUUUUUUUUUUUUUGCAGUACGCGGGAC